CCUACGGGAGGCAGCAGUGAGGAAUAUUGGUCAAUGGGCGCGAGCCUGAACCAGCCAAGUAGCGUGAAGGAUGACUGCCCUACGGGUUGUAAACUUCUUUUAUAAAGGAAUAAAGUGAGGCACGUGUGCCUUUUUGUAUGUACUUUAUGAAUAAGGAUCGGCUAACUCCGUGCCAGCAGCCGCGGUAAGACGGAGGAUCCGAGCGUUAUCCGGAUUUAUUGGGUUUAAAAGGAGCGUAGAUGGGUUGUUAAGUCAGUUGUGAAAGUUUGGGGCUCAACCGUAAAAUUGCCAUUGAUCCUGGCAGCCUUGAGUACAGUUGAGGUAGGCGGAAUUCGUGGUGUAGCGGUGAAAUGCUUAGAUAUCACGAAGAACUCCGAUUGCGAAGGCAGCUUACGAAACUGCCACUGACAUUGAUGCUCGAAAGUGUGGGUAUCAAACAGGAUUAGAUACCCUAGUAGUC
This 460-nucleotide ribosomal RNA is filed under the name uncultured bacterium. RNAcentral describes it as "partial 16S ribosomal RNA". It matches the Rfam family "Bacterial small subunit ribosomal RNA", at positions 338 to 795 of the family's 1533-position model. The record is from RNAcentral.